RNAcentral lists this small RNA (272 nucleotides) under Arabidopsis thaliana (thale cress). RNAcentral describes it as "ATSL130830". Lineage: Eukaryota; Viridiplantae; Streptophyta; Magnoliopsida; Brassicales; Brassicaceae. The record is from RNAcentral.
UCUCUUUUUGACAUCAAUUUUGGUAAAAUUCUAUAUAAAUUGUUAUUAUUAUUUUUGUCUUAAGGGUCCGAAUGAUGACUGCGUUUUGCGGUGUGGGAGAAGUGCGGUGCGGUUCAAAUAGUAACGAAAAUACAUAUAUAUAGAGAGAGAUUUUGAUACUGUUACCUGUUGCAGUGCGGUUUUGGGUGCGGUUUAUAUUACUAUUCAUAGUCUAAAUCUCCAACAUUUUAAAGUGACACUACUGUUAGUGAUACAAUCCUAAAUGGCUAGAC